RNAcentral lists this ribosomal RNA (700 nucleotides) under uncultured bacterium. RNAcentral describes it as "bacterial SSU rRNA". It matches the Rfam family "Bacterial small subunit ribosomal RNA", at positions 789 to 1501 of the family's 1533-position model. The record is from RNAcentral.
GGUAGUCCACGCCGUAAACGAUGAAUACUCGCUGUUGGCGAUACACAGUCAGCGGCUAAGCGAAAGCGUUAAGUAUUCCACCUGGGGAGUACGCCCGCAAGGGUGAAACUCAAAGGAAUUGACGGGGGCCCGCACAAGCGGAGGAGCAUGUGGUUUAAUUCGAUGAUACGCGAGGAACCUUACCCGGGCUUGAAAGUUAGUGAACUAUCCAGAGAUGGAUGGGUCCUUCGGGACACGAAACUAGGUGCUGCAUGGCUGUCGUCAGCUCGUGCCGUGAGGUGUUGGGUUAAGUCCCGCAACAAGCGCAACCCCUAUGUUUAGUUGCCAGCACGUUAAGGUGGGGACUCUAAACAGACUGCCUGUGCAAACAGAGAGGAAGGAGGGGACGACGUCAAGUCAUCAUGGCCCUUACGUCCGGGGCUACACACGUGCUACAAUGGACGGUACUGAGGGCAGCUAGGCAGCAAUGUCGUGCGAAUCUCAAAAAGCCGUUCACAGUUCGGAUUGGGGUCUGCAACUCGACCCCAUGAAGUUGGAUUCGCUAGUAAUCGCGUAUCAGCAAUGACGCGGUGAAUACGUUCCCGGGCCUUGUACACACCGCCCGUCAAGCCAUGGAAGUUGGGGGUACCUAAAGUACGUAACCGCAAGGAGCGUCCUAGGGUAAAACCGAUAACUGGGGCUAAGUCGUAACAAGGUAACC